GAUCAUGGCUCAGGACGAACGCUGGCGGCGCGCCUAACACAUGCAAGUCGAACGAGGGAGAGGAAGCUUGCUUCCUCAAUCGAGUGGCGAACGGGUGAGUAACGCGUGAGGAACCUGCCUCAAAGAGGGGGACAACAGUUGGAAACGACUGCUAAUACCGCAUAAGCCCACGGGUCGGCAUCGACCAGAGGGAAAAGGAGCAAUCCGCUUUGAGAUGGCCUCGCGUCCGAUUAGCUAGUUGGUG
Molecule: ribosomal RNA, 244 nt
Filed under: uncultured bacterium
Lineage: Bacteria
Description: partial 16S ribosomal RNA
Rfam family: Bacterial small subunit ribosomal RNA
Source: RNAcentral